AAUCGACUUGGACUCACCCUAUAUUCAUUUCUUUUGAAUUAAAGUCAAAUAUACAAAUGUUAUUUGAUUAACCAUUAAUCCUAACGACAAUUUUUGGUUCAUCAAGUGUGAUGGGGGAAGGUCAUUAGAUGACUAUAUUGAUCUUACCAAGAUUGACUAAUGACUUUCGCAAAGACCUAGUGACCCUAGUAGGCCAUUUGCAUCUAUUUAAAAGAGUAUUUCUUUGAAUUGGUAUGUAAGAUGUUUUCUUG
Molecule: long non-coding RNA, 251 nt
Filed under: Spirodela polyrhiza (greater duckweed)
Lineage: Eukaryota; Viridiplantae; Streptophyta; Magnoliopsida; Alismatales; Araceae
Description: long non-coding RNA (SPOL_LNC001412)
Source: RNAcentral